CAGAUGAGACUACAUCUGACAGGUGAUGAGAUAGAUCAUGUUGGUUGGAGCACCUAGGUUGAGAGGUCCACACGAGGCUCAAUUGUUUCUAAAUGGGUCCUUGGUUCCAGUAGAAGGGUUUUAGUCCUGUGUCUGAAGGCCCCAGGACUUUUCUUGGGAUGGUAACGAUAGUCUCUAUACACUGGCCUGAAAAUGAUCUCGGGAACACUCGUUACCAGUUUUUAUUUGUACCAUACCCCACAUACACAGCACUGAACACAAUUUUCUUGCCCUGAUGUAUGAAAUGUUAAUCAUCUGAAUUGCUGGAACAAAUUAUCUGAAGUGAAAUCUGAUCUUGUCAUUCUCUGAUUUAAAAUUUUUCUUUCACAUGCUGAAGUCUGUGGAAAUUAGAACUCUUUAGCAUGCCAGUCUACGAUAUGACCUCCUCUUCUUCCCACUCAUCUGGGCUUUGGCCUCUCAUCUUCUCACUUCUCACCAAUUUUUCAAUGUUUUAAAUACGUGAAGCUGCUGCCUUGAUGAUUGCCAUACUUUUGCACAUGCUGUUGUCACUGCCUGCAGCACCUUUUCUCAAACUUUCCCUGCUGAAUCAGAAGCAGGAUUCUUCCUGGAAAUCCAGGUUUGUUAGGUAACCCUCACAUGGUUUCCACAGGAGCCUGUGUGUACCCAAACUGAAAUACCUAUCACUUAUUUCAUUGUCUCCCACGAGGCUGAACUCCCAUGGGAGUAAGGAAGUGGGCCCGGCAUAAUCGUGUUCCAAGUAAACAUCUUUUUGAUGAAUGGAUGACUCUUACUCACCAUUUCCGGUAACAGUAAUAACAGUGGAAUACAUC
This 830-nucleotide long non-coding RNA is filed under the name Homo sapiens (human). RNAcentral's name for it is "HSALNT0136722". Lineage: Eukaryota; Metazoa; Chordata; Mammalia; Primates; Hominidae. The record is from RNAcentral.